AGAGUUUGAUCAUGGCUCAGGACGAACGCUGGCGGCGUGCCUAACACAUGCAAGUCGAGCGGGAUCCAUCCAGUGGCAACACUGGGGAAGAUCUAGCGGCGAACGGGUGAGUAACACGUGAGAAACUUGCCCCGGAGUUCGGGAUAACCCGAGGAAACUCGAGCUAAUACCGAAUACCCUCCACCGAUCGCAUGGUCGGUAGAGGAAAGAUUCAUCGCUCCGGGAGAGUCUCGCGGCCUAUCAGCUAGUUGGCGGGGUAACGGCCCACCAAGGCAUCGACGGGUAGCUGGUCUGAGAGGACGAUCAGCCACACUGGGACUGAGACACGGCCCAGACUCCUACGGGAGGCAGCAGUGGGGAAUCUUGCGCAAUGGGCGAAAGCCUGACGCAGCAACGCCGCGUGCGGGAUGAAGGCCUUCGGGUUGUAAACCGCUUUCAGCAGGGACGAAAUUGACGGUACCUGCAGAAGAAGCCCCGGCCAACUACGUGCCAGCAGCCGCGGUAACACGUAGGGGGCGAGCGUUGUCCGGAUUUAUUGGGCGUAAAGAGCUCGUAGGCGGCUCGGUAAGUCGGGUGUGAAACCUCCAGGCUCAACCUGGAGACGCCACCUGAUACUGCUGUGGCUAGAGUCCGGUAGGGGAGUGUGGAACUCCUGGUGUAGCGGUGAAAUGCGCAGAUAUCAGGAAGAACACCAGCGGCGAAGGCGGCACUCUGGGCCGGAACUGACGCUGAGGAGCGAAAGCGUGGGUAGCAAACAGGAUUAGAUACCCUAGUAGUCC
Molecule: ribosomal RNA, 779 nt
Filed under: uncultured bacterium
Lineage: Bacteria
Description: bacterial SSU rRNA
Rfam family: Bacterial small subunit ribosomal RNA
Source: RNAcentral